GCCUGGCUAGCUCAGUUGGUAGAGCAUGUGACUCUUGAUCUUGGGGUCAUGAGUUCAAUCCCCACAUUGGGCA
This 73-nucleotide transfer RNA is filed under the name Felis catus (domestic cat). It matches the Rfam family "tRNA". From Rfam's summary of the family: Transfer RNA (tRNA) molecules are approximately 80 nucleotides in length. Their secondary structure includes four short double-helical elements and three loops (D, anti-codon, and T loops). Further hydrogen bonds mediate the characteristic L-shaped molecular structure. tRNAs have two regions of fundamental functional importance: the anti-codon, which is responsible for specific mRNA codon recognition, and the 3' end, to which the tRNAs corresponding amino acid is attached (by aminoacyl-tRNA synthetases). tRNAs cope with the degeneracy of the genetic code in two manners: having more than one tRNA (with a specific anti-codon) for a particular amino acid; and 'wobble' base-pairing, i.e. permitting non-standard base-pairing at the 3rd anti-codon position. The record is from Rfam by way of RNAcentral. RNAcentral also lists the same sequence under 3 other names. Lineage: Eukaryota; Metazoa; Chordata; Mammalia; Carnivora; Felidae.